Molecule: ribosomal RNA, 909 nt
Filed under: uncultured bacterium
Lineage: Bacteria
Description: bacterial SSU rRNA
Rfam family: Bacterial small subunit ribosomal RNA
Source: RNAcentral
AGGAUCGGCUAACUCCGUGCCAGCAGCCGCGGUAAUACGGAGGAUCCGAGCGUUAUCCGGAUUUAUUGGGUUUAAAGGGAGCGUAGGUGGAUUGUUAAGUCAGUUGUGAAAGUUUGCGGCUCAACCGUAAAAGGGCAGUUGAAACUGGCAGUCUUGAGUACAGUAGAGGUGGGCGGAAUUCGUGGUGUAGCGGUGAAAUGCUUAGAUUUCAAGAAGAACUCCGAUCGCGAAGGCAGCUCACUGGACUGCAACUGACACUGCCCCUCAAAAAGUGUGGGCCCCAAAAAGGGAUUAGAUACCCUGGUAGUCCACACAGUAAACGAUGAAUACUAGCUGUUUGCGAUAUACGGCAAGAGGCCAAGCGAAAGCAUUAAGUAUUCCACCUGGGGAGUACGCCGGCAACGGUGAAACUCAAAGGGAUUGACGGGGGCCCGCACAAGCGGAGGAACAUGUGGUUUAAUUCGAUGAUACGCGAGGAACCUUACCCGGGCUUAAAUUGCACCUGAAUAAUGUGGAAACAUGUUAGCCGUAAGGCAGGUGUGAAGGUGCUGCAUGGUUGUCGUCAGCUCGUGCCGUGAGGUGUCGGCUUAAGUGCCAUAACGAGCGCAACCCUUAUCUUCAGUUACUAACAGGUCAUGCUGAGGACUCUGGAGAGACUGCCGUCGUAAGAUGUGAGGAAGGUGGGGAUGACGUCAAAUCAGCACGGCCCUUACGUCCGGGGCUACACACGUGUUACAAUGGGAGGUACAGAAGGCCGCUACCUGGCGACAGGAUGCCAAUCCCCAAAACCUCUCUCAGUUCGGAUCGAAGUCUGCAACCCGACUUCGUGAAGCUGGAUUCGCUAGUAAUCGCGCAUCAGCCAUGGCGCGGUGAAUAAGUUCCCGGGCCUUGCACACACCGCCCGUCAAG